Long non-coding RNA from Felis catus (domestic cat), 3211 nucleotides. RefSeq lists it as uncharacterized. The record is from RefSeq and is a predicted model, not a curated record. The transcript has 3 exons. Lineage: Eukaryota; Metazoa; Chordata; Mammalia; Carnivora; Felidae.
CUUCUCUGUGCAAUUUGUUGAUGUCAGCCCCAUUCCCCAGCUCCACAAAUGAGCACAUCACCCAGGGAAAGCCAAUGAGAGACGGCUGCAGGACUUUUGCUGGAGCUCCUGGAACGCUGAGUUUUGUGCUGCCGUGGUUGCUUACCUGGUAGGCUGGCAGGCUGGCACUGCCGGGGGAGGAGAGGGCCUGCCUGAAAACGAAAUCAAUACCGAGGGAAGAAAAGGUGAAAGAAGGAGAGAUGUACAGUCCUGAGAUUGUUGGAGCACCUGGAUCCAGCCAUACCUGAAAUCCAAACUCCCUCCCGCUGGACUUUUUCACUGUAAGAAUCAGUAAUUUCCCUUGGUGUUUAAGCUAGUUUGGGUUUCCGUAGCCUCCAAGAUAACAAAGCCUCAAAGAUAUGCAGGCAGCCAAGCUUAGGUACUUUCCCCUUGAGGGAUGUGGGCAGGUGUUUCCCUCGCUCAGAAGUCACGUCCCCUCUAGAGGCUCCUUUUCUACAAGGCCUGAAUGUUUGGGGUUCGCUCCACCUGAGGCGAAAAAGCAGAAGCAAAGUGCGAGGCCAGAGGUGGGGUGCCUACAGAAACAGCCAUGCGACCAGCAGCAGGAAGUGGGGAUCUGCAUUAUUACUGUGCUAACCCAUUUCCCCGCUUCUUGGUAGGCUGAGCCCUGAUUGUCUUAGCUUGUUUAUUAGCUCUGUCCAUGUGUUUCGGGGAGGUGUCUAAGCCAGUCAUAGUUCCCCAGUCUCCCGGUCAGUGACUGGUUCUGGAAGGAGCCGUGACUCACUCCUAGACAAGAACAUGUGAGGAGGAGACGAGGGCUGGCACUGUGGCAGCUAUGUUGCCACCUUAAGGGAAGACACUGCCCACGUGCCGAGGAAUCUUCGUCCGACACCGUUGAACGUGAACACCGAUCACAAGAACACCGUUCAACGGGUGGGCUGACCGCUGUACAACCUCCCUACCUUGGUGAGAUUAACUGUUUGGGAAAAUAAUAAAGGCCUUUAGUUUUCAAGGUAUUUGGAAUCUCUUGUUCCCUUACCUGCAGCCAGCAGCAGCCUACGUGAUACACCCAGAGUGCGUGGUGCACACGGGACGGCAUGGGGACGUCAACAGUAUGGCCCGUUCGGUGCCCAGAGCACUGCCCUCACCAGACACGGUCCUGGCUGUCAGCGUGAGAGCCCCCCCAUUCCCUCCCGGCCCAGCCACUGCUGGCAUCAUAGUGUUGAUUAUGCUUUCCAUAUUCGUCAGAGGGAACAGUCAUUAUGUUUUAAACUCUAGCCACCAACCCAUAAAGUUUGGUGAAGGUCACUCCCAGAACGUACGUGUCAUCGACCCUGAUAAUUUGACAGUGAAGGGGUUGGUGUGACCCGUCUAUGUGCCAGUCAAAACCCAGUAACCUGCCUUGAAGAUUUGCGCAUUUCAUUGUAUGCAAAUUUCACCUCACAAAAGAACCACGGGGAGUGGUGGCUGGGUGGGGUGGCUCAGUGGGUUAAGCAGCUGACUUCAGCUCAGGUCAUGAUCUGAGCCAGUUCGAACCCCUCGUUGGGCUCUGGGCUGACAGCUCAGAACCUGGAGCCUACUUUACAUUCUGUGUCUCCCUCUCUCUGCCCCUCCCCUGCUCAUGCUCUGUCUCUCUUUCUCUCCCAAAAAUAAAUAAACAUUAAAAAAAAUUUUUUUAAAAGAACCGUAAAGAUUGAAUUCUAAUUAGUGAUAUGGACACUGAGCUAUUUAGAAGUUAAAAGUGCAGAUGUCUGCUUGAAAAUACUUCACUUUAACUCAUUUAAAAAUCCAGCAAAGAAAUCAUGUGGUUGAAUAAAUAGAGGAUGGACAGAUAGGUAUGUGAUAAAGCACAUGUAGAAAAUUGUUAACAAGGGGCGCCUGGGUGGCUCAGUCAGUUAAGCGUCCGAUUUCGGCUCAGGUCACGAUCUCGCGGUUUGUGGGUUGGAGCCCCACGUCGGGAUCUGUGCUGACGGCUCGGAGCCUGGAGCCUGCUUCGGAUUCUCUCUCUCUACCUCUCCCCCACUCGUGUUCUGUCCCUCUCUCUCUCUCAAAAAUAAAUAACAUUAAAAAAAUUUUUUUAACGUUAACAAGUGUAGAAUCCAGAUGAUAGGUGCGUGGGAGUCAUGGUAAAAUUCAUUCACCUUCUCUGUAGGUUUGAAAAUUCUCAUAAUUCAAUGUUGGGGGGGGGGCAGGGAAAGCCUAUGGAGAGUCAGGAAAUUGAGUCCACUGCUGUGGAAGAUGCUCAAAUCAAUGGUGGCUCGGGGCAUCUGGGUGGCCCAGUCCGUCAAGAGUCCCAUUCUUGUUACUGGCUCAGGUCGUGAUCCUGCCGUUCUGUGUCAGGCUCUUGAUUUCAGCUCAGGUCAUGAUCUCAGGGUUCCUGAGAUCGAGUCCCACGGCGGCUCUGAGCUGACAAGUGCGGAGCCUGCUUGGGAUUCUCUCUCGUCCUCUCGCUCUGCCCCUGCCCCACCUCAAAAUAAAGAAAUAAACAUUAAAAAAAAUAAUGUCGGCUUAAAUUGGAAAGAAGCCUGGAUCUUUCUUGGUGAUGGCGCCCUUCUCUCCUGCUGAGGGGCCAGCUGAGGGUGUUGUCCUCAGUGGCUCACAGUCGCCAGGUCCAGGGAGGAAAGGCAGGAAGGGGAAAAGGAGAUCUGUCUGUGGUUGGGACUUACAAAGCUAACAGAGAAACCAAAAGGGAUGACAAUUAUAAUAACGACAAUAGCCAGCAUAUACCCUUACGGGAGGCGCGGCCCUCUUCCAAGGGCGUUACGGGGUUCAUCCCUGUGACCCUCACGACCUUGUGAGGUAGGUACCUGCUGUUGUUCUCAUUUCCGGCUGUGGAAGCUGAGGCCCGGGGACGUUGAGCCGAGUCAUUAUGUCAGGAAGGACACGGCAUGAAACGAAUCCUCAUCCCCCGGGACAGGAAGUCAAUGGCUUUGCGGGUGACACUGACGAAUCAAAACCCAGAGGCAUAAACAUCUUAAGAGAUGGGGAGAUGGUGAUGGAAGGGUGACAGGCCGCCGUGACUACUGCUUGUGUCUGGAGGGAGGAAGUGGUGGAGGGUGGGUGAGGGAGGGGGUGGCAGGCACGGAGGCCACAACUGCUAUGUCAGGAAACGAGGGCUGGGGGCGCCUGGGCGGCUCAGUCGGUUGCACAUUCCAACUUGGUCUCAGGUCAUGAUCUCACGGCUCGUGAGUUCGAGCCCCGCGUCGGGCUCUGC